RNAcentral lists this ribosomal RNA (459 nucleotides) under uncultured bacterium. RNAcentral's name for it is "partial 16S ribosomal RNA". It matches the Rfam family "Bacterial small subunit ribosomal RNA", at positions 338 to 795 of the family's 1533-position model. The record is from RNAcentral.
CCUACGGGAGGCAGCAGUGAGGAAUAUUGGUCAAUGGCCGGAAGGCUGAACCAGCCAAGUCGCGUGAGGGAAGACGGCCCUACGGGUUGUAAACCUCUUUUGUAAGGGAGCAAGGUGCAGGUCGGGACCUGCUGUGCGAGUACCUGAAGAAUAAGCAUCGGCUAACUCCGUGCCAGCAGCCGCGGUAAUACGGAGGAUGCGAGCGUUAUCCGGAUUUAUUGGGUUUAAAGGGUGCGCAGGCGGAGGCACAAGUCAGCGGUAAAAUCGCGGGGCUCAACCCCGCUCCGCCGUUGAAACUGUGUCCCUUGAGUGCGCGAAGGGUAGGCGGAAUGCGUGGUGUAGCGGUGAAAUGCAUAGAUAUGACGCAGAACUCCGAUCGCGAAGGCAGCCUGCCGGCGCGCAACUGACGCUCAUGCACGAAAGCGUGGGUAUCGAACAGGAUUAGAUACCCUUGUAGUC